This is a long non-coding RNA of Ictidomys tridecemlineatus (thirteen-lined ground squirrel), 1520 nucleotides long. RefSeq lists it as uncharacterized. Lineage: Eukaryota; Metazoa; Chordata; Mammalia; Rodentia; Sciuridae. The record is from RefSeq and is a predicted model, not a curated record.
UAGAAAAAAAUCAGUUGUUUUGAAUCAGUUGCACAUUCUCAAAGACUAUUCUGUGAUUGAGGAUGUAUAUGAACUGAUUUCUUUGUAUCAGGAUUCCUGGUUAGAGAAGUGAUUGAUAAUAAUGAAAAAAUAAAAUCACGUUUUUCUAGCAAAACAAAACCAGAGUUGCCCUGAGUAUUCAUUCCUCAUCUCUUCUGCACCAGAUGCUGCUGCUGCAUCUGCCUUUCAGGCUUGGAGCAUCUCUUCCACCCCUAACACUGCUUCUGCCCGAAGUCAGAAGAGGACAGAGAAUUAGAGAAGCCCUUUUCUUGGUGGCUUCAUCUCAUAGACCCAUCUAUUUGGUGAGGUUCACAGACCCUGGUGACUGCAGUAAGAAGAUCAUUAGUUCGAGGCCAACCUGGGCAACAUAGUGAGAUCUCAUUAAAAAAAAAAAAAAUUGAGGUUCACAGACCAACAGCAUUGUAUGUAUGACCUGGGAGCUUAUUUGAAAUGUUGAAUCUUGGGCCCUAAGCUGGCCUACUGAUCCCAAGAUUCCUAAGUGAUCUGUGUGCACAGUAGUGUUAGAAGCAUUAGGACUCUCCCUACCUCUAGAUCCAGAACAAUUUUAUGGAAGGUGAAAAGAAGGAGGCCAUGUGAGCCAGUGGAAAGUAUUCUGAAAUAUGAGCCAGAAGCUGUGUGUUUCAUGCCAUGCACCAGUUUGUGAUUCUGAAAAAAAAAAAAAUCACUGAAUCAUUUUGGGCCUAGUUUUCUGAUAUUUCAAAUGGGAAUAAUACCUCCCGGUUGUUUUAUGAGAUUGAAAACAAUUAAGCAAGAGAACAAAUGUGAAAGUGAUUUUAAAAAUCACAUAAGGUUCAUACAUGUGGUUAAAUCAUUAUUAUUGGUGUUUUAAAAAAUUUGCUUUUGUGAGUCAGACAUCUGGGUUGUGGCAGAAUAAGGGCCUAUGACGCAGCACAGCUCUCCUGCCUUCUAGUCCCAUCCACACGGAGUGAGGCUCCAUCACCACAGGCUGUGCAAGGCCCUAGGUGUCGCAAGGAGCAGCUGGAACCAUCUCUCUGAGAAAGGAAUUUGUACAUUUCAAGAGUUUUUAAAUGUGUUAGUACCCUGUGACCCAGUCUUUUCUACUAGAAAUCUGCCUCGAAAAAAUAAACAGGAAUGCAGAUGAAGAAUUUUAAGUAAUUAUGUUCACUGAAGAUUGACUCAGAAAAAACAGAAACAAGAACAAAACAACUGCAAACAAUCUGAAUACCCAACAGUAGGGAAUGGUUAAAUAAAUUGUAAGACCUCCAUAUGUGGUACGUCAUGCAGCUAUUAAGAUUUUUCUUUAAGGGGCUAGUGCUAUGGCUCAGUGGUAGAGCACUUGCCUGGCAUGUGUGAGGCACUAGGUUGAUUCUCAGCACCACAUAUAAAUAAAUAAAAUAAAGGUCUAUCAACAACUAAAACAAUUUUUUUUCUUUAAAAAGAGUUUUUAAGGACAUGAGAAAAUGUUUGAUGUCAUACUAAGCCAAAAAAAAAAAGAAAAA